GUCUGAAGUGCCCUUUUUCCUCUACUGGGAUGAUCCCAGCUGUCCCUGGGUGUGGGACACUGGCACAACAGUGUCACUGAUAGUGCCUGGCAGAUAAACUGCUUCUGUUUCUUGCGGGAGGCAGAGACAUCCUCUUCAUGUGCAAGAGUGUGAAGCAGCAAAUGUCUUUUCACCUGUGCUGCAGGAUUCAAACCUGGCAUGCCUUCCACGGAUCUCUCACCAGGAGCUGCGAGGUUUCUGCAAAGGGAGGAAAAGCAGAGCAGGGCAGCCAAGCUGGGGCUGGUGCCUGGGCUUUGACUUACAGAAUUAUUGCUAACUGUACACUCUCUGAUGGUAGGAAACAGCAUUUUGCCCCCAGCCAUUUUUCCCAAGAUCAGAGCCAAAGUAACUCUGUCUCCUGCUGUUUUGUAGCUGUAGAUUCUUAA
This 425-nucleotide long non-coding RNA is filed under the name Cyanistes caeruleus (blue tit). RNAcentral's name for it is "lncRNA (ENSCCEG00000010712.1)". The record is from RNAcentral. Lineage: Eukaryota; Metazoa; Chordata; Aves; Passeriformes; Paridae.